UUUGUGAAGGAAGUGGCCAACCGGCCACUUCUUUCAAUGAAAAAAAAAAAAUAAAAAAUUGCUGUGGCCGACAGGCCACAGCUUUCUCCCUUUUUUUAAUAGGAAAAGGAGUGGCCGGAGGCCACUCCUUCCCAUUAAAAACCAAGAAGCGGCCGACCGGCCACUUCUUUCCGUACGAAUUUAACAUUACUAAGCUGGGAUUUUCUGUUAAUCUGGGAUUAACUUAAGCCUCUCGUUCGGUUAUAAAAACCGAACGAGGCUCACUUCUUUCCCAAACAAUUUGAGGUUGAGACUUGAGAGGUUCUAGUUAAGGUGCGGAGACGGAAAGAUUUGAGAGAUAGCGAGGAGGAGGUCCUGCCCAAAAAAUCCAGCGGAGACUAUUUAAGGAGGAAGUGGAGCUCAAGUAUACAGAUCCGAUUUACGGGUCCUUCACCGCUGAUGACGAUGAUCCACUACUCGGCUGGCUUGUAGGCCAGCAGCAGGAGCCCGAGCUUGACGAGCCAGGAUCGCCUCCACGACCAGCUACCUUCAUAGCCACCGAAGCUGGGGUCGAUCCAGAGCAAUGGGCUGAGCGCAAUAUUCCACGCACUCCCAGAGCUGAUCAGCCGCAGGCACAGGGGAGCCAGACAGAGAGGGCCAGGAAAGGAAAACAAAGAAUCCCAAUGGAGAGUGUCGAGGAAGAGACUUGGACUAGUAGCGAUGAAGGUUCUGGUGGUGAUGGAUCUUCUAGCCAUGGAGGGAGCGGAGGACAGUAUGGUACUCAUGAGACACAGCCGGAGGGUGGUCUUUAUUUCACCGGUGAGUCCCAAUUUAUGGGUGCUACACAGGAUACGGACCACGGUCGACCACCUGAUAGAGAUCGUGAGGAUAUUAUUGGAUAUAGAAGACGGGCUCCUCGAGGUCGUUCAGGAAGACAGGAUACGACUGCAGAUCCGAGGACAUACGGAUACGGAUUCUAUUAUCCACAGCCUCAGCCUGACGAAUACGGAUAUGGUGCAUUGGAUUUUGCUUCCGCCAUAUUUGGAUGGGCCCCUACACAAUCAGAGGACACCUCUCAGAGCCAGAGCGUGAGCGAGAGAUCCGACAGUUCUUAUAACCUGGCGCGUGUUCCUUCUGAUUGGGUUGAUUUGCCUCCUCCUGAUUAUACUUAUGAUCCAGAUAUCUACGAGAGCCAUCGGCACUCGUCCCGAUUUUAGAUAUCCUAGAGUACUUUAAAUGUAUGUAAAUGAUUGUAUCUUAAUUCGAAGAUAUUUUAUGUGUAUGAUUUUAUCAUUUCGAACGGGAGGAAAACGUAACAUGCAAUCAUGCAUCAUAUAUGUUUCAAAUUUCAACCCUAAAUUUAAAUAUGAAAAUAU
Non-coding RNA from Phoenix dactylifera (date palm), 1355 nucleotides. The record is from RefSeq and is a predicted model, not a curated record. NCBI's taxonomy places the organism in Eukaryota, Viridiplantae, Streptophyta, Magnoliopsida, Arecales, Arecaceae.